GAGUUUGAUCUUGGCUCAGAUUGAACGCUGGCGGCAGGCCUAACACAUGCAAGUCGGGCGGUAGAGAGAAGCUUGCUUCUCUUGAGAGCGGCGGACGGGUGAGUAAUGCCUAGGAAUCUGCCUGGUAGUGGGGGAUAACGCUCGGAAACGGACGCUAAUACCGCAUACGUCCUACGGGAGAAAGCAGGGGACCUUCGGGCCUUGCGCUAUCAGAUGAGCCUAGGUCGGAUUAGCUAGUUGGUGAGGUAAUGGCUCACCAAGGCGACGAUCCGUAACUGGUCUGAGAGGAUGAUCAGUCACACUGGAACUGAGACACGGUCCAGACUCCUACGGGAGGCAGCAGUGGGGAAUAUUGGACAAUGGGCGAAAGCCUGAUCCAGCCAUGCCGCGUGUGUGAAGAAGGUCUUCGGAUUGUAAAGCACUUUAAGUUGGGAGGAAGGGCAGUAAAUUAAUACUUUGCUGUUUGACGUUACCGACAGAAUAAGCACCGGCUAACUCUGUGCCAGCCGCCGUACGG
Molecule: ribosomal RNA, 517 nt
Filed under: uncultured bacterium
Lineage: Bacteria
Description: bacterial SSU rRNA
Rfam family: Bacterial small subunit ribosomal RNA
Source: RNAcentral